CCUUGUACACACCGCCCGUCACACCAUGGGAGUUGUUCUUACCUGAAGCCGUGGCCCUAACCGCAAGGAGGGGAGCGUCUACGGUCGGAAUGAUGACUGGGGGUG
This 105-nucleotide ribosomal RNA is filed under the name uncultured bacterium. RNAcentral describes it as "partial 16S ribosomal RNA". It matches the Rfam family "Bacterial small subunit ribosomal RNA", at positions 1379 to 1482 of the family's 1533-position model. The record is from RNAcentral.